This 470-nucleotide ribosomal RNA is filed under the name uncultured bacterium. Its description in RNAcentral is "bacterial SSU rRNA". It matches the Rfam family "Bacterial small subunit ribosomal RNA", at positions 8 to 526 of the family's 1533-position model. The record is from RNAcentral.
AGAGUUUGAUCAUGGCUCAGAACGAACGCUGGCGGCAGGCUUAACACAUGCAAGUCGAACGCCCCGCAUGGGGAGUGGCAGACGGGUGAGUAACGCGUGGGAAUCUACCCAGAUCUUCGGAACAACUGAGGGAAACUUCAGCUAAUACCGGAUACGCCCUACGGGGGAAAGAUUUAUCGGUUCUGGAUGAGCCCGCGUUGGAUUAGCUAGUUGGUGGGGUAAUGGCCUACCAAGGCGACGAUCCAUAGCUGGUCUGAGAGGAUGAUCAGCCACACUGGGACUGAGACACGGCCCAGACUCCUACGGGAGGCAGCAGUGGGGAAUAUUGGACAAUGGGCGAAAGCCUGAUCCAGCCAUGCCGCGUGAGUGAUGAAGGCCUUAGGGUUGUAAAGCUCUUUCAGUAGGGAAGAUAAUGACGGUACCUACAGAAGAAGCCCCGGCUAACUUCGUGCCAGCAGCGGCGGUAAUAC